UGGCAUAAUGCCAUGCUAAAUCACAAAAAAAUACUUAUCCCUCUUGAAAAUUCAUUCUUCUAAACAACUAAAAAAAUAAAAAUAAAAAGUACCUCCACAAUGCACACCAUGAAGGACUAUAUUAUGAAGAAGAUAUUCAUCCAUUAACCUGCUCUACAUAUUACAAUAAUCAGUUUCCAAAAAUAACACCUCUUAUCCCCAGUCCACAUGACUAAGCAGUUUUUCCUACCCCAUCCAUUAAGGACUAUAUUUUGUAGAAGAUGUUCAUCCAUUAACCUGCUCUACAGAUUACAAUAAUCAGUUCCCAAAAAUCAAACAUCUUAUCCCCAGUCCACAUGACUAAGAAUUUUUUUCCUAUCCCAUCCAGUCUCCAGACAGCCUACUGUAUAUUUAGCUUAUGCUCUAAAUUUCUGCAUGACCAAAUCUAAAGACCUUCCCUUUGAACCCCUUUUCUCCUGCCACACUCCUUAGAAGGAUGAACAGGACUGGUUAUAGUUGUGCUUGAAUCCCGGUUGGAGACUCUCCAAUAAUCCAUGGCAGUGCACCAAUAUAACAAUUACCCUAUCUCGGCUCUCUGAUAUAUCAGCAUAAGAUCAGAGAAGACCUGAAUGGAUACUAUUGCUAUACUUCAAAUUCAUAAAUUGUUGUACAUGCCAAGAAAAAGAGAUUUUUUCAAGCAGACUAUGCAAAAUCAAAAGAUUUCAAGGAAAUUCUCUGCUCCUCAAUCCUGGUAGAAAAACCCUGGCUGACUCAGUUUUUGUUCAAUGCUGAGUUAAUAGAGGUUGCCAGCCAGAUGUCAGAUACUAUAAUCCUUACCAGUAUGGAGAGAAAGAGAGAGGGAUUGGAAUGUGUGUGUGUGUGU
This 862-nucleotide long non-coding RNA is filed under the name Populus trichocarpa (black cottonwood). Its description in RNAcentral is "long non-coding RNA (PTRI_LNC003802)". The record is from RNAcentral. Lineage: Eukaryota; Viridiplantae; Streptophyta; Magnoliopsida; Malpighiales; Salicaceae.